GGGUUGUGAGGUUAAGCGACUAAGCGUACACGGUGGAUGCCCUGGCAGUCAGAGGCGAUGAAGGACGUGCUAAUCUGCGAUAAGCGUCGGUAAGGUGAUAUGAACCGUUAUAACCGGCGAUUUCCGAAUGGGGAAACCCAGUGUGUUUCGACACACUAUCAUUAACUGAAUCCAUAGGUUAAUGAGGCGAACCGGGGGAACUGAAACAUCUAAGUACCCCGAGGAAAAGAAAUCAACCGAGAUUCCCCCAGUAGCGGCGAGCGAACGGGGAGCAGCCCAGAGCCUGAAUCAGUAUGUGUGUUAGUGGAAGCGUCUGGAAAGGCGCGCGAUACAGGGUGACAGCCCCGUACACAAAAAUGCACAUAUUGUGAGCUCGAUGAGUAGGGCGGGACACGUGGUAUCCUGUCUGAAUAUGGGGGGACCAUCCUCCAAGGCUAAAUACUCCUGACUGACCGAUAGUGAACCAGUACCGUGAGGGAAAGGCGAAAAGAACCCCGGCGAGGGGAGUGAAAAAGAACCUGAAACCGUGUACGUACAAGCAGUGGGAGCACGCUUAGGCGUGUGACUGCGUACCUUUUGUAUAAUGGGUCAGCGACUUAUAUUCUGUAGCAAGGUUAACCGAAUAGGGGAGCCGAAGGGAAACCGAGUCUUAACUGGGCGUUAAGUUGCAGGGUAUAGACCCGAAACCCGGUGAUCUAGCCAUGGGCAGGUUGAAGGUUGGGUAACACUAACUGGAGGACCGAACCGACUAAUGUUGAAAAAUUAGCGGAUGACUUGUGGCUGGGGGUGAAAGGCCAAUCAAACCGGGAGAUAGCUGGUUCUCCCCGAAAGCUAUUUAGGUAGCGCCUCGUGAAUUCAUCUCCGGGGGUAGAGCACUGUUUCGGCAAGGGGGUCAUCCCGACUUACCAACCCGAUGCAAACUGCGAAUACCGGAGAAUGUUAUCACGGGAGACACACGGCGGGUGCUAACGUCCGUCGUGAAGAGGGAAACAACCCAGACCGCCAGCUAAGGUCCCAAAGUCAUGGUUAAGUGGGAAACGAUGUGGGAAGGCCCAGACAGCCAGGAUGUUGGCUUAGAAGCAGCCAUCAUUUAAAGAAAGCGUAAUAGCUCACUGGUCGAGUCGGCCUGCGCGGAAGAUGUAACGGGGCUAAACCAUGCACCGAAGCUGCGGCAGCGACGCUUAUGCGUUGUUGGGUAGGGGAGCGUUCUGUAAGCCUGUGAAGGUGUGCUGUGAGGCAUGCUGGAGGUAUCAGAAGUGCGAAUGCUGACAUAAGUAACGAUAAAGCGGGUGAAAAGCCCGCUCGCCGGAAGACCAAGGGUUCCUGUCCAACGUUAAUCGGGGCAGGGUGAGUCGACCCCUAAGGCGAGGCCGAAAGGCGUAGUCGAUG
This 1389-nucleotide ribosomal RNA is filed under the name Escherichia coli. RNAcentral's name for it is "partial 23S ribosomal RNA". It matches the Rfam family "Bacterial large subunit ribosomal RNA", at positions 1 to 1420 of the family's 2925-position model. Lineage: Bacteria; Pseudomonadati; Pseudomonadota; Gammaproteobacteria; Enterobacterales; Enterobacteriaceae. The record is from RNAcentral.